GAGACAGCAGCAGCCGCGGUAACACGUAGGGUGCGAGCGUUAAUCGGAAUUACUGGGCGUAAAGCGUGCGCAGGCGGUUCUAUAAGACAGAUGUGAAAUCCCCGGGCUCAACCUGGGAACUGCAUUUGUGACUGUAGAGCUGGAGUGCGGCAGAGGGGGAUGGAAUUCCGCGUGUAGCAGUGAAAUGCGUAGAUAUGCGGAGGAACACCGAUGGCGAAGGCAAUCCCCUGGGCCUGCACUGACGCUCAUGCACGAAAGCGUGGGGAGCAAACAGGAUUAGAUACCCGCGUAGUCCCUGUCUCUUAUAC
This 308-nucleotide ribosomal RNA is filed under the name uncultured bacterium. RNAcentral's name for it is "partial 16S ribosomal RNA". It matches the Rfam family "Bacterial small subunit ribosomal RNA", at positions 505 to 807 of the family's 1533-position model. The record is from RNAcentral.